Molecule: ribosomal RNA, 496 nt
Filed under: uncultured bacterium
Lineage: Bacteria
Description: partial 16S ribosomal RNA
Rfam family: Bacterial small subunit ribosomal RNA
Source: RNAcentral
AUGAACGCUGGCGGCGUGCCUAAUACAUGCCAGUCGAGCGAACAGAUGAGGAGCUUGCUCCUCUGACGUUAGCGGCGGACGGGUGAGUAACACGUGGAUAACCUACCUAUAAGACUGGGAUAACUUCGGGAAACCGGAGCUAAUACCGGAUAAUAUAUUGAACCGCAUGGUUCAAUAGUGAAAGACGGUUUUGCUGUCACUUAUAGAUGGAUCCGCGCCGCAUUAGCUAGUUGGUAAGGUAACGGCUUACCAAGGCAACGAUGCGUAGCCGACCUGAGAGGGUGAUCGGCCACACUGGAACUGAGACACGGUCCAGACUCCUACGGGAGGCAGCAGUAGGGAAUCUUCCGCAAUGGGCGAAAGCCUGACGGAGCAACGCCGCGUGAGUGAUGAAGGUCUUCGGAUCGUAAAACUCUGUUAUUAGGGAAGAACAAAUGUGUAAGUAACUAUGUACGUCUUGACGGUACCUAAUCAGAAAGCCACGGCUAACUACGUG